GGCAACCAAACUUGAAAUUUGCUCCAUUCAGCUGUCAGUCCUUGGUGGUGUCUCCCAUCUCCUUGGAACAGUGGAUGAGAUGGGUUUUGCACGUCUUUUUUGUUUUGUCAGGGAAAACCUCUUGCAUAUAAGAUCCAUAAAUGAAGUGGAAGAUAUCAGCAAACGAAA
Protobothrops mucrosquamatus (brown spotted pit viper) is the source of this 168-nucleotide long non-coding RNA. RefSeq lists it as uncharacterized. The record is from RefSeq and is a predicted model, not a curated record. The transcript is spliced from 3 exons. Lineage: Eukaryota; Metazoa; Chordata; Lepidosauria; Squamata; Viperidae.